This 1306-nucleotide long non-coding RNA is filed under the name Dromaius novaehollandiae (emu). RNAcentral's name for it is "lncRNA (ENSDNVG00000012321.1)". The record is from RNAcentral. Lineage: Eukaryota; Metazoa; Chordata; Aves; Casuariiformes; Dromaiidae.
UAAAUUCCCUUAUCACUCUAUUGGAAUUUGACAUUAAUGACCUGCCUGUUAUUUCAGAAGGAGAUGGACUGUAACCGGCAGGACAGAAAGCAUUCUUGUGCCUGUGUUUCAAAGAGGCCCGAAGACUGCAAGCCAGAGCCACCAAAAUGCAACAUAAGGCAAGCGAAGAUCAAGGCAAGCAACCCCGUGACACCAGCAUUGGAUGUCUGGGGAGUGGGCUGCUCUCAGCAACAUGAAUUUCACUUCCCUCCAUGUUUUCUGGAGAGUGAACUCAGCAGUGAUCCAGGGGGUGAGAGUUUGCUCUGAAAAGAAGAAAAAAAAAAAAGAAAAAAGGGAUCAUGUUGCCACACUCGGAGUUCAUGAAUGGCCGUUAGCUCUCCAAUGAUCUUACAACAAAGAACCACUUCAAGCCUGCAGAAGUCUGCUGUUUUCCAAGUGUUAGGAGCUGACAGUGCUUGAAUUUGCAGAAAUAGCUAGAAUUUGAAAAGAUCUUGGCUGUUUGUUAAUGAAACUCUUCUGGGCAAGAAGCUGAGUCUGAAUUCAUGUGGGGAGAUGGGAGGAUCUGAACCCUUUGCUGCAAGGGCAAGGAAAGGUGCUCUCAACUAGCUGUUUCUGUGUUAGAGAAAAGCUUUGUUUCUGCUCUUUGCUCUCUAUGCGUAAUUGGGCUAGGUGGAUGGUAUACAACAAAUACCUCUGUCCUAUGUAUUUUCAGAAGGGAUCAGUGUUUUGGAGGGCUUUAUUGGCUCAACAUUUUGGGAGUUACCAUGUUCUAAUGGCCUGCAGUGAAGCCAGAUAAUUUCUUUAUCACUUCAUCAAAUAGUGUGUGUGUGUAUAUACAUAUAUAUAUAUAUAUAUGUGUGUGUGUGUCUUCGGGCUGUCCUCCAGGAUGGUUUUGCAGCUUUUAUUUUUAUAAUGGAAAAUUGGCUUUAUGUUCAGGUGCUGAGCCAGUUUGGGGAAAAAUAAUGGAAAGGGUCAGUUUUCCUGUUCUGGGAGAGUGUUGCAUUCCAGUGCCCGUUCAGAAUGAAAAACUGAAACUGCAAAGGCUGUUGAAAGGCGAAAAUACUUUUGAUUAUGCCCAUUGAAAUGCUUCAGGUUCACUCAGCAUUUGUUUAAAAAGAAAAAGCUUUUCCUACUGUGUUCUGUUAUUUUAACAUUUGUUACUAGAAGGUCUAGAAGGUGCUUUUUUUGUUUUUUGGUUUUUUUUCCCAGAAGCUUCUCUCUUACAGACAUCCCCUCAUGGACCACAGGUAUGGGAYUGGCUGUAGGGGAAUUAACCCUACUGAGAUGCAUCCUAUGGACCUGGCAG